This 468-nucleotide ribosomal RNA is filed under the name uncultured bacterium. RNAcentral's name for it is "partial 16S ribosomal RNA". It matches the Rfam family "Bacterial small subunit ribosomal RNA", at positions 28 to 507 of the family's 1533-position model. The record is from RNAcentral.
GACGAACGCUGGCGGCGUGCUUAACACAUGCAAGUCGAACGGCAAGGCCCUGCUUUUGUGGGGUGCUCGAGUGGCGAACGGGUGAGUAACACGUGAGUAACCUGCCCUUGUCUUUGGGAUAACUUCAGGAAACUGGGGCUAAUACCGUAUAGGAUCUCCUGCUGCAUGGUGGGGGUUGGAAAGUCUCGGCGGUUGGGGAUGGACUCGCGGCUUAUCAGCUUGUUGGUGGGGUAGUGGCUUACCAAGGCUUUGACGGGUAGCCGGCCUGGGAGGGUGACCGGCCACAUUGGGACUGAGAUACGGCCCAGACUCCUACGGGAGGCAGCAGUGGGGAAUAUUGCACAAUGGGCGGGAGCCUGAUGCAGCAACGCCGCGUGCGGGAUGACGGCCUUCGGGUUGUAAACCGCUUUCGCCUGUGACGAAGCGUGAGUGACGGUAAUGGGUAAAGAAGCACCGGCUAACUACGUG